Molecule: long non-coding RNA, 14685 nt
Filed under: Olea europaea (common olive)
Lineage: Eukaryota; Viridiplantae; Streptophyta; Magnoliopsida; Lamiales; Oleaceae
Description: long non-coding RNA (OEUR_LNC014792)
Source: RNAcentral
UUUUAAUAAAAUUAUAUUUAUUUUAACUUUUUAUUUUUUCAAUUUAAUUUAAAAUCUUUAUAAUAACCUUUUUUUUUCUAUUUUUGCCUACAAUUCUUUUUUUUCUUUAAUUAUCAGAUCAUUUAGUUUCUUUUAUUUAUUAGUAUUGGAUUGAAUGAAGUGAAGCAAUGUAUGAAAAUGGAGCAGUAUUGUAGAGGAGGUAGUGGUUGUAGUGAAGUGGCGUGUGAAAAUGGAUAAAUAAUUGAAGACAGCACGACGUCAUUUUUUGCUCCCAUGAUUUUUUAGUAAAAAAAAUAAUUUUGCUAUGUGAUAAAAUGAAAGAAUUCACUAUUCAUAACUUUAGUAACUUUCAUUCCCUCUUUUAUAUGGUAGAGAUUGUAAUUUCCAUUCCCUCUUUUAUAUGGUAGGGAAAUAGGGAUUAUUGGGAAGACAAAUACAAGUGAAAUGCUUUUAGCUUGUCAACUUUAAUGGUAAUUCAUAUUUCACCUUUGACAAGAACAAUUAUGAAAAUAUGUCAACUAUAAAUUUGAGGGUAAUUGUAGCAAAUUAAUUAUUAGAGAAAUGGCAUAAUUGCCUCCCCAGUUUUUCAAUUAAAUCAUGUUAAAAAGCUUUCAUAUCACACACGUAAUUACUUUCAAUUUUUCAACAUGUGUGGGCCCACUGUGUGUUGGGAAGUGGGUUCCUUUAAUGUGGUUAGUAACGUUUGUGAUGGAAAAAUUACGUUCUUUUUUGCUUUCCCAUUCUUUUCUACUUUCUUCAAUUUCUUUGCUUUUCCAUUUUCUUCCUCAAGAUAGUAAAACAAAUGAGAAAGAGAGGACUACACUGCAAUUUCUUCAUCCUGCGAUUGUAUUGGCUUUCUUCAUCUUCUUGUGAUUUCUAAUCGACAGGUAUAAUGGGUUGCUUUCUAGCUUUUUUCAAUUCGUCUCGUUGUGAUUUCCAAUGGGUUUUUUGCAUUUAAUUGUGAUUUCUUCAUCUUUUUAUGUGUACAGUUCUAAUUUUGAGUUCAUGAAAUUGAUAGGUUUUGUGUUAAUAUUAACAGAGAGAGGUAUAUAAUUUUAUGAUUUAAUUUAUGCUUUCUGUGAUUAAAAUUGUCUAUCUUGGUUAUUGUUUUUUUUUUCGAAUUUCAAAUGGAUUAUUGAGUUUAUAGUGCUAGAUUUUUUAGUUCUUUCUUGAUAAAUUGAUUUUAUCUUUUGCUUCUCUUUUAUGGUGAAUUUUCGGGAGGCUUAUAUGUUAAACAAAGAGGUAUAUAAUUUUCAAAUUUAAUUUAUGCAUUCUAUGAUUAAAAUUGUAUUAUUGUUAUUUUUUUUUUGAAUUUCAAAUGGAUUAUUGAGUUCACAGUGCUAGAUUUUUUAGUUCUUUCUUGAUAAAUUGAUUUUAUUUUUUACUUCUCUUUUAUGGUGGAUUUCACGAGGCUUAUAUGUUAGCAAGUUUUCUAAAGAGGAAUUUUUUAUUGGUUUGUGAUUUACAUUGAAUCUAUGUUUGAGGUUCAUGUAUUGAUUCUAAGCAGAUUUGAAUUUAGUACUAAAUUGCUGGAAUUUUUGUAGGUGCUUCUUAUCGUGUUUAUGAGUUAAUAUUUUGUUUUUCUUCGAUUUUCUAUCUUUAGUUCAAGUUUGGGCAAUCAGAUUUCCAUUCACUACAAAUCAAUUGCUAAUUUUCGCAAAAUAUUGUCAGACUAAACUGUGGUUUGGAACAUAUUAGAUUUUACCUAACCUAACUUUAUCUAUAGAAUGUGGAGAUAAAUAAGUUUCUUCUUAAUAUUAUUUUGGUUUAAAUCUCGAAAGCAUUAACGUUUUGGUAAGUCCAUGAAUUAAAAGAUCGACCAAUUAAUUGAUUUGCUAGGUUACCGGUGCUCCUUAGAAAUUUUUUUAUAUCUCUAUAUAUAAAUUUAUGGUGAAUUUUGACAUCAGUCAUCGAACUUUAUUUUGUUUCCUUUCUUAGAGAAGAAUUUAUUUAAUUGACCUAAAAUUUAUUGGGUAAGAUUUGAUUUGUUAUUAUAAAGAGAAGGCAAACUCAAAUUGCAUUUUGAAACUGUUUGUGGUUAUUACAUUUGUAUUACUAAUGUUGAAGGCUAUUAUACGUUUAGUCUCAAAAUUGUCGAGUUCGUAAUUUUCCUUUUAGGUUUCUUUGAAAAAAAAAACACUUAGUGAGAAUGUUAAAAGAAGAGCUUCAUUUAGAUGAUUUGAACUCAUACAGCAUGAUUGAGCUUCUGAUAAUAAAAUACCUCAUAUUUUUCAUGCUCACUUCUUUUAUCGUAAAAAUUGGCUUAAACUAAUGGCUAAAGUACACUAUUAAAAAUAAAAACUAAAAGAUAUAAAAUUUUAUGGUUAUUAAUAUUCGUGACAUCAAGUUCACUACAUUGUUAUGCAUGUUCUCUUGAUGUUCUUUUAUAAUAUUUUGCCACAUCAUUUGUCAAUUGGCAAGGCUUGUUCGAUAGUAAAGCAAAUUUUGAUGUUUUCAGAACUUCUCAUAUCUUUACAGCGGAAAGAACUUAAAAAUAUUGUUCCUUAGAAUUCUCCAAUUAAAUGGCAUACCUAUACUCUACAAAUUGCCCAAAUAUAUGAUGGGAUUUUGCUCGAAAUAAUCCUUCAAGCCAAAUUUUGGCUACGAGUAACUUGCUUCUUGUCUCCUCUACUAUUAAUAUAUUUCUAAGAUUUUCAAACUUUGUUCCUUUUCAGUAACUAGCUUCAUGUUUCCUCUAUUUUCUAUGCUUACAUAUUUUUAUUAGUUCAUUUAUUCAUCUGAACUAUGCAUGUGAACACUAUAACUAAAUUGGUUGCAAAUAAAAUUAAAUGCAAUUGCAAAUGUAGCGAUGAUGAAAUAAAUUGUAACAUAAUUUACUCCUCUAUUCUCUUCCUAUAUUUUUAAUCAUAUUUCAUAUUUUAUGAAUUCUCUCUUCAGCUAUCUAAAGUUUCUUUGGAAAAAAUUAUGUUUUCUUCUUCUAUUCAUUUUCUCAGGUAGCAGCUUGGAUUACAUUAUAUCUAAAAUCCAGUUUCUUCUCUUCUUGUUGGCAUGUAAUGUGCAAUGUUAUUUUUUAUUUCACUCUUACCUUUGGUCAAAAAUUAAGAAUCUUUCAAAUAUUUAUAAUUUGACUAAUUGUUUCCCAACAAAUUUUCUUCUAUGGAAUUUUGUUGUCUAUGUUGCUGUAUAUUUUACAAAAAAUGUACUCCAUAUUAUGUUGGUUCUAAAGAUUUAACCUAUUAUCGACAUUUAAUCAUAUUUUUCGUUGUCUUGGGUAUAGAUUCUUCUACUCUAAUAUUUAUAUUUAAACUAUGUAUGACAUAAUAUAUAUGGUAAUAGUUUUUCUUUUUUUCAUAAAGUUGCUAUUGCUUACUUUCAACUCCAACUAUUUGAUAAUUUUCUUCAUUUAUUGAUUGACAUAAUGGAACCAUGUGGUCAUUGAGAGUCCCAUUUGUAUAACGCUCAAACUCUUCUAAAAGUAUCAGUCACAUGAUGCAUUAAUUCGUCAACAACGAAAUCAAAGAUGAAGAGAUCGACGAUAUCAAGCUGAAACUUGAUUCAUUAAUUAUCAUAAAAAAGUAAUUCAGCCUAUGUUAUUUACAAAUAAUGAUUCUCAUGUUGUCCAUGUACAUGAACCUACAACAUACCAUCAUUCUAAGCCUUCUACUUUCAACAAUGAAGUAUUGAACAUUUGCAAUACUGAAUUACAAGAGAGUUCUAACCAAUUAAAUGUACCAUGUAUUGCAUAUGUAUUACCAACAUGCACAUAAUGUAAAGAUUAUGGUGCAAAAAGUUCUACAGAGAAAGUAAAGGUUUCUGUUGUUCUGAUGGAAAAGUUUAACUCUCUAUGUCUGAUCCGCUAAUUGAACUAUACAAUUUAUUUACUUUUAAAGAACCUACAUGUAUGGAAUUCAAAAAAAAAAAAAAUUGCCAGGGCAUUUUACAUUCACUUCAUUUGGGGUAAAGUAUGACAAAGAACUGUUUAAAUCAUACAGAGGUAUCUACACAUUUAGGAUUCAAGGUCAAGUAUAUCAUUACGUAAAUCCACUUAUGCCAGAAAAUAAUACGCCUUCUUAUAUGCAAUUAUAUUUUUAUGAUACAGAUAACAAAGUUGGGAAUCGUAUGAAAAUUUCAAAGAAUUUUGUUCAAUCUACUUUGAUUAGUUUAAUUGAAAUCCUCAAAAUAAAUCCGUAUAGUAUAUUCUUUAGGUCUUUAAGUAAUAUGACAAAUUUGCACGAUCAUCGAAUACAAACAAGAUGCGAUCUGGGACUUAAUCAAGGAGUUUUCAAUACUCCUACGAUGUCUCAAGUUGCUGCUGUAUGGGUCGAAGACGAUGAAAAUGGAAAUGUUCGUACUCGAGAUAUUAUUAUUUACAGUCAUUCCAAUAAUUCACAUAAGGUUCAUUAUUGUUAUGGUUGUUAUGAUCCUUUACAAUAUCCAUUGCUUUUCCCAUAUGGAGAAUCUUGUUGGCAUGAAGGCAUUAAGAGAUGCAACAACAAAUAUUUACAGUCUCAACAUCUGUCUAACUUAGAUGGUUUUCCUAGCACAGUAACUUCCGCAUCUGAAAUUAUUGAAAAAGAUGAUGAAGAUUUAUGUAUAUUUUUUUCUUUAUAGUUCUACUUUCUACAAUGUAAAUUAAUAAAUGAAUAUAUAAUUUUGACAUUUUCCAUCAUGCAGUGCUUAAUGGAACGAAGAAACGAUUUCAGGUCUCUUGCCGGGAAUACUAUUCAUACAAAUUUCAGAUUAGGCCAUUUGGUAAGUCUUUAUUGCUUCACAGUGGUAAAUUAUUUCAACAGUUUGUUGUAAAUAUGUAUGUUAAGAUUGAAACUGCUAGAUUAGACUAUUUUCAUAAUAACCAAAAAUAAAUUCGUACUGAACUAUAUCAAGGUAUUGUAUAGAUAGUGUUAAAAAUGGAGAAAUGAGAGGAUACAAAAUUGGAAGAAAAAUUAUUUUACCACAAUCCUUUACAUGUGGGCCUAAAGACUUGCUAAAAAGAUACAUGGAUACGAUGUCUAUUGUGCAGCGUUAUGAAAAAUCAGACAUCUUUUUUACUAUGAUAUGUAAUUCAAAUUGGCUGAAGAUUAAGCAAGAACUAAAGCAUAAUGAUGAAGUUCAAAAUCGAUCAGAUCUAAUUGCAUGCAUAUUUCAAGCAAAAUUAGAAGAGUUAAAAAAUGAUUUAUACAAGAAAAAUAUCUUAGGCCUUGUUGUUGCACAUGUAUAUAUGAUUGAAUUUAAAAAAACGAGGUCUUCUUCAUGCGCAUCUAUUAUUGAUUUUCAAAUCUGGCCAUAAAAUUUGUUGUGCUAAACAGGUCGAUGCGAUAGAAUGUUCUGAAAUUUCUAAAAAAUAUAUAUACCCCCAUCUUCCUUCUAUUAUUGUUAAACAUGAUAUGCAUGGUCCUUGUGAAAAUCUUAAUCCUAAAAAUGUAUGCAUGGAGGUAAAUAAAGGUUGCAAAAACAAAUGCCCUAAAGAACAUUGUAACAUGACUACAUUUGGUGAUAACUCAUAUCCGUUGUAUAAGCGUAUAAGCAUAGCAAUAAUGGCAUCUCUGUUAAAGUUAGAGGUCAAAUGUUAGACAAUUACUAGAUUGUACCAUAUAAUCUUUAUUUAAGUACGGAAUUUGACUGUUACAUUAAUGUUGAAAUAUGCUCUUCUAUUAAGGCUGUAAAAUAUUUGUACAAAUAUGUAAACAAAGGACCUGAUCGUAUUAAUUUCACAAUUAACACAAAUGAAGCAGAGAAAGAAAUUGAUAAAAUUUCUGCUUAUCAUUUUGUGGAUAUCUUCACUUGAAGCUAUGCAGAGAAUUUUUUUUAUUUUGUCAGAAACUUGUCCUACUGUUUAUUCUUUAUAGUUUCAUAUUGAGAAUCACCAAGAAGUGACAUACAAUAGUUAUGAUAAUUUAUCUACCAUCAUUGAGAACAAAAAUACAAAGAGAACAAUGUUGACAGAAUUCUUUCGAAUGAAUCAAAAAAAUAAAUUUGCUCGAACAUUGUUGUAUCGAGAUUUUCCUACACAUUUUGUUUGGAAUACUAAUAAAAAAAAUUUAACUCCGGGAAGAAGCAAAUUGUUAUAGGACGAAUUAUCACAACAAAUCCUUUUGAAGGAGACGCUAUUUCCUCCGCAUUCUUCUUAAUCAAAUUCGAGGGCUAACAUCAUUUAUUGAUUUACAAACUUCAAAUGGGGUAACUAUUAUAGAGAGACUGCGCUUCUACAUGGUUUAUUAAGCGGGGAUAAUCAUUGUGAAGAAUGUUUAUCUGAAGCUAUUGUUUACGAAAUUCCAACUUCUUUAAGAUGCCUAUUUGCUACACUACUUACGCUUUGCAACCUUAAUCAUCCAAAAUUAUUGUGGGAUAAAUUUAACGCUUAUAUGAUAGAUGACUAUCUACAUGAAAAUAUACUUAUAGAAAUUGUAAAGUACAUGCUCUAUAGGAUAUUGGUGAUCUUCUAGAAUCAUUAGGUAAAAACAUAAAUGAUUAUGGAAUAGUUCCAUUCAGUGUAAAUAUGGGUGAGGAUCAAAAGUUGAGAAGAAUGGUUAUAGAGGAGACGACCAAUUUGGAUAUCAAAGGAGACUAUACUUGUGCAUCUAGUUUAAAUAAAGAACAAUAGUUUGCAUAUGAUUCGAUUAUGGAAAAAGUUAAAUCAGAAUCAAAUGGUGAUUUCUUUAUUAAUGGUCCAGACGUAACAGGUAAAACUUUUUUAUAUAAAGCAUUUCUUGCUGCUGUGAGGUCUCAAAAUUUGAUUGCUUUAACGACUACAUCUUCUGGAGUAUCUGUAUCUCUAUUACCUGGUGGUCGAGCAUCUCAUUCUAAAUUUAAAAUUCCUUUAGAUACAUAUGGUGAAGUAAGUUGCUCCGUUAGCAAGCAAUCAGCUUUGGGAACUUUACUCAGAAUGUGUAAGUUAAUAACAUGGGAUUAAGCACCCAUGGUAAAUUGUUCUUCUGUUGAAACUGUGGAUAAAAUGUUCAGAGAUAUUACCGAUUGCAAUUUGCCUUUUGGUGAGAAAGUGGUUGUUCUCUGAGGAGAUUUUCGACAAAUUUUACCAGUUGUGCCAAGAGGAAAAAAAGGAAGAUAUAAUGAAAGCUAGCUUAGUCUUCUCUAACCUUUGGCCUUUGUUUAUACAUCUACCAUUAAUUGAGAACAUGAGGGCUAAGCUAGAUCCCACAUUUUGUGAUUAUUUACUUAGAAUUGGAGAUGGAACAAAAAAAGAACAUACUUGAAACUACAUUAAGCUUCCAGAAAGUAUCACUCUACCAUUUGAGGACAAAAUUCAGUCUAUAAAAAUAUUGAUAAAUCAUGUGUUUCCCAAAUAUUGAAGCAUAUGCUGAUAAUUUACAUAUGAUGGGAAAUUGAGUUAUUCUUACACCUACAAAUGAAUGUGUCGAUCAUACUAACAGAAUUUUACUCGAACAAAUUUCAAGUCAAAUUUCACAUAUUUUAGCUUCAAUGAAACGAUUGAGAAAUCAAAAAGGAGCUUGUAGGAAGAUUUUUUUUUUUUUUGAAUAGUUUAACCACAAACAGUAUUCCACCUCAUGAAUUGAAUCUUAAAGUAAAUUGUCCUAUAAUGUUAUUGAGAAAUAUUAAUCCUUUUGAAGACUUAUGCAAUGGGACACACCUUACUUGUUGAAAAUUUGAGAAGAAUAUAAUUCUUGCUGAAAUCACAACUGGUGAAUAUUGUGAAAAAUAUGUUUUCUUAUUGAGGAUUCCUUUUAUACCUCUUAAGAUAGAUCAAAAUUCAAUUCCAUUUAAAAGAUUUUAAUUUCCAAUUAAAUUAUGCUUCGCAAUGACAAUAAACAAAUCACAGGGCCAAACAUUUGAUUUUGUUGAUUUGUAUCUUCUAGAACCUUUUUUUGCCAUGGUCAACUUUAUGCAGCAUUAUCAAGAACUAGAACAAGUACGAAUAUAAAAGUUUUGGUGAAACCAUCAACAACUGAAAACUUACACAGUACAUGUACUAAGAAUGUUGUCUACAAGAAAAUCCUUUCUUUCAUACAUCCAUAGAGCUACAACUUGGCUUCCUUGUCCGUUAUUGAAAAACUUUAUAAAUUUAUGCAAUCAAAGUCAUCGAUGAAGCUAUCAAAUUUGCAUGGAAUAACUUACAAACAAUUAGAAAAAAAGAUGAAAGUGUUAUCAGAGAAGCUCGUGAGGUCAGUGAAUUAUUGUUUUACAAAAUAGCUUUCUUUUAAUCUAAUGUUUUAUAUAUCAUUUUAUCUCACUUUUCCGCAGUACAUAAUUCUAAUGUUCACAUAUUUUUUUUACACAAGUAGUUCGAAAUCUUUUCACUUCAUAUCUUGUUCAAAAAGUAUAGUUCUCAAACAUACUAUAGUUCUUACGAGUUUACUCCUUAGAGAAGAAAUUCUUUUUCAAAUCUUAUAGUUAUUGACAUUUCGUAUAGUACGUAUAGUAACAAAAUAAUUGUUUAUACUUUAAUCCUUAAAUAUUCUUUUUCUUUUAUUAUUAUUAUUAUUAUUAUUAUUAUUAUUAUUAUUAUUAUUAUUAUUAUUAUUAUUAUUAUUUUGCAAGUUUAUUUUCCUAUUCAUAAUUAGCUUAUUCAUUUUCCAAAUUCUAAUUAUUCAUCUUCGCAAUUAGUUUUUGAAUUUAACAAACAAUAUUUCACUAGCACUUCAAUGGCAUCUCUGUUGAUGAAAUUUUUGCAUGUCGGAUGACACAUAUUCUUACUUGUGUUCAUUUCCAGAAAGCAGAUCUUAUUCAAAUGUGUUUCACAAUUUUUUUAUCAAACCUUUUAAAUAAUUAUAAUAUUAUUCUCUCAUGCCUUCAAUUCUGUCAAACCAUUCUAAUUUCAUUCAUCAUAAUACUAUGACUCGAAAUUCUAAAUGUCUUUUCUUUCAUGAUUUAUAGUUUUUUCAAGCGUAAUUCUUCAACGAUCAAUGGUCAAUUCAUCACCUGGAGAAAGAGAGUUGAAGAUAGUUGGUCGAACAUUGAUAUGAAUAGUUUCAAGGUACAAUCUACCAUAUUAAGUAAUAUCAAAAGAAUAUGAUGCGAAUUUCCGCCUCCACCAAACAAAAGAAUAUUAUAAAUAUUCCUUCAAGUUUUAUUACUAAUUCCAUUUCUUUUACUUUAUUAUCCCUGUAAACUAGCGUACACACAUUUUACUCUUCUUUUACCUCUUUUUUCCUGUUUCUUAAUAGUCUUUUCUCGUCUCUUUUUCCUUCUAGUGAAAAGAUUUUAAAAAUCCUUUAAUCCAACUGAGAUUUAACUUACCAUAUUUGACCAAUUCAUUUCCAAUUUAUUUUUAUCAUAGAUGGCCCCGAUUAUUGCAAAUAUGGGUGGAACAAGUAUUCCUCUCCGUCUGGACAAUCAUCCACAUUUUCAGUGAGCUUCUAUUUGUUGUUAGUAAUAUUAUAAUCUCUGAAGUAAUUAUAAAUUUAUGAGUUGUUUUGCCCUUUGAUCAAUACUAAAAUCUUCAAUUUUUAAUUCAUUUUUAAGUCCUUUCAAAAUACAGGAAUUUGUAAAAUUUGUCUCUGAUGACUUCUAUAAUUGGACAUUUCUUUUUAACAAUAUGCAUCAAUUUUAUCUAAGAGGCAAUCCUGAAUUGGGGAUAAAGUUUUGAAAAUGUUGUUGAGAAAGUUUGAUUUCCAAUCAUGUGAAAUAAUUUUUUUAAUUUACUCAGGUAAGACCUCCAAGUAUUCUCAUGUGAUGUAGUGGAUAGGAGAUGUAGUUUUGUUAGAGAUCUUUGUCUUCCUUAGUUCCUUGUGAGGAUUUUUAUGCUAGAGUUACUUAUUUAUUUAUUUAUUUAUUAUUAUUAUUUACAACUACAUAAGACAAAAUGUAUUUCAUGACAAUCCAACACAUUUAACACGUUAAUAUUACAUUCUAAAUAAUCAUGCCCAAACUCAACCGUCUGUCCUGAGUACGCAUUUGAUAUAUCGGAUCAAAAGUUCCCAAGUUUCACAAAUCAAACUCAACAAUUAAUUUUAAUUAUAUAUUUAAUAUGACACAAUUUUCAUUAAUUAUUAUCAAAAUCUACUGAAAAUUUGAUUUUAAUUUACACCAAAUAGGGAUUUAGUACUUCUAAGUUUUAACAUUUUUUUAAAACUAGAUGUGAAUAAGAAAAUUAUCAAUUGGGUCAAAUUGAAUCGAAGUCACAGCUUUCAUAUCGAUGGUUUGAACUAAGUAAUUCAGGUUUUGAUUGUUUCAAAAUCGAAUCAAAUCAUUUGAAAAUGAUUCAUUUUAAGUUCGCAAAAGAACUUAAAAUUCGAACAGUUAUCCAUCUUUUUUAAAGAAACAUCACUUUUCUAUCCAGAAUAUACUAUUUACUAAAUCUGUUUAUAUUUCAAAAAAUUUAAUCUCCGCUUGUAGGAUUUUGAAAAAAAUAAUGGUUUAUUUUUUAUAACACUUUUUUAAUUUUAAAUAAUAAAAUUUCAAAGUUAAAUUUUAUAGUUAACUAUUAUUGAUUUAAGCUAAUCCUAAGAUAAAUUUUAUAGUUAAAUAUUAUGCUCCCGUUUGGUUCUGAUUUUUCACUCUAAAAAUCAAUUUUUUGAUUGUUGCUUCCCUAUUUUAGCAGUCACUUUUAACUUCUUCACUCUCAAAAAAUCAAUUCUCAUAAUCACUUCCGAACAAACCCAUAAUAGUGAUAAAACCGUCAUGAGCAUGUUUGAGCCCCUUUCUUUCUUUCUUUUUUUUGGAAAUAAUACAUUUUGGAAUAGCAUUUUGAUGAAAAAUAUGUUGUUAAAAUAUAAGGAAAACUUUUUUAAUUUUGUGUUUAAAUUAUUUUAUUGAAUAAUGUGCAGUUGAAAAUAAGAAAGUAAAAAUAUAUUUUUUGAAAAAUGGAGAAUAAACGAGGGCUAUAUUUAAACGGUUUCAAUAAAUGUUUGAGUCCCAUUAUGUUGAAAAAAUAAAUUUUGUAACAAAGAUUUUUCAGAGAAUGUAUAGUUAAAAAGUAGAGAGAUAUUUUGGGUUUACGUGUAAUUGUUCACUUGGAUAAGUAAUAUACUACCUGCAUGAUAGUGUAUAGAAUUUUGCUGUCUACACUGGUCAUGUGAAAUAGGGCCUGUAUAGGCCACUCACAUGCCAAUGUGGGUGAGGUGGGGCAUGUGAGUGGACGAGGAGUGGUGAUUAUUUUAAAAAAAGAAAAAUUCACCCACCACUGCAUGUGUGAGUGGCCUGACAUGACCUGUACAGCCAGCAAAAUCCUAGUGUAUAUUACACAUAUCUAAUUCUUGUAGACAAAUAUUCUUAAUUUUGGUUAGAUUUUUUUAUCAUUGUGUGAUGGAUAUUUAAUUGGGCAUGGGGGUUCCAAAAACCUUUAUUAAGAUUUAUGAUAUUUUCUAUUUUUGAAAAUUAUAGAAACCUCUCCCUCAAGUUUGGUUUUAGUAAUAAAUUCGUCCUUGAUUCCUUAUUAGUCAAGGUGUAUUUUUUAUUUCCAAUUACCCUUAGAUAAUGAUAAUAAUGAUAAGGUGCAUAUUUUUACAUCCACAGUGUUUAUAUAUACAUCCCUAUUAAAAUAUUAAAGUGUCAAAAAAAUUACCAUUUUCAUCCACAUCAAAUUUCAAUAGUAUCAUUAUUAAAUUCAUUCGUUUAAACAUUAUAGAGCCAUUCAAAAUUUAUAUGUUAAUCCCACUAUAAAUACAUUCAUAACACAAUUUCAAAAAUUUUAAGAAACACUGUAUUCAUCCAAUCACUAUCAACAUUUAAUCUCGUUUUUAUUUUUUAUUUUCUAUAUUAUCAUGUUGGUGUUGUAAUAUUUAGCUAUAAACGUUAACAAAUCUAUUUUCUUGAAUUUAUAGGAUUUUAUCAAAAGUAUAAUGCUCAAGCAAACAAACAAAUCCCUCCUCUAAUUAUAUGUAAAUUUUCUUCUUCUUCUUCUUCUUUUUUUUUUUUUUUUUUUUUUUUUUUUUUAAAUGACCCUAUUUUUCCCAUAAUAUCGACCAAUCAUGAAAAAUCAUUAAAAUGCCCUUUUUUUUUUUUUUUUUCUAUGACCCUAUUUUUCCCAUAAUAUCAACCAAUCAUGAAAAAUCAUUAAAAUGCACCCCUUAAUGUACACGCAAAAUCAAAUUUAUGAUACUUUUUUUUUUUUUUUUUUUUUUUUUGUGCUUAUAAGCUCAUAAUUUUGGUUGUUUAUGACUUGACCUAUAAUUUUAAUUUUGUUUCAUUUUGUAAUGUAAGAAUAUUUAGACACAUAUUGAAACUUAUUUUGAAAUAUCUAGUAUAUUUUCAUCUGUCAAACCCUUAAAAAUGAAUAAAAAACAAUAUUUCAUUUUUCAUAUCAUGAAAGAAUUAUAACUCUAAUAACAUGUUGAUUUUUUAUUUCUAAAUUUUCGUUGAAGAUGAUAUUCUAUGAUUAGGGUUUUAUGAUUUUAGAUGAAGAUGGUGUUUUACUAUUAUGAGAAUUUUAGUUAAACACGAACUCUGAAAGAAUUUAAAAUGGUUUAAAAGAAUUUAUGAAAAUAAAUAUUAGUGGAUGAAGUUAGAACGAUAUAUUUUUAUUUAAUUUUAUAUAUGUUUAUUUAGGUAAAUUUACAAAAGAUAAAAGAUAUAAUAUAUUAGGGAUGUCAACGGGGCGAGUACGAGAUAGGUCGACCAUUCCCAUCUUCGUCCCAUCAAGUAUUUUUAUUAUCUUACCCCAUACCCGAUUAAAGCGGGACCGGGGUUGAGUUCGAGGCAGGAUAUUAUUAUUAAUUUUGCUUUUAUUUUUUUAUGUCUUUAGUUAAUAAAUAUUAUUCUUUUUACCAAUCUGUCAAAAACAACUUAUAUUCUCUUUAAAAAUAAUGAUAAAUCUAUUAUUUUUGUUUGAUAAAAACUUAAAUUUGAAAUUAGCAUUAAACAGGACAAGGACUAUGUUUCCUGUACCCGUCCCGGAGCAAUGACCCCUGUCCCAUGCCCGCCCCAUGUUCCAGUUAGGCGGGUAAUGUGACGGAGCCCUACGAGUAUCACGUUGAACGUGUUUUUUUGUCAUCCCUAAAUAUAAUUAUAUUUUUAGAAGUAUUUGUAUAUAUAAAAUCUGUGAAUGUAAAUAGCCGUACCCUAAUGAUAAUUUAUAAUUUGAAACUAUUAUUGAUUAAUAUUUUACCAUAAUUGUUUCUUCUUCUUGUUCCCCUAGAUUCUUAAUGGUUUAAAUGUUUUUAGCUAAAAUAAUUAUUAUUAAGUUUUCGUAUUAACAUUUGAAUAAAGUUAUAAUUUCUUUUGUCUUUACUUGUACUAGUAACAAUUAUAGGGAUGUGAGACGAGGUCGAGAUGCCCGGGGGGGGAGGGGGGGGGAGCAAAUUUCCCAAUCCUGUCCCCUUCCAUCUUGUACAUCCCCCAAAUAUAUAUUUUUCAAUUAAAUUGAAUUUAAGAAAAUUUAAAUAAAUAAUUAAUUGAACAUGAUGGUAAAUUGAGAUAUUAUAAUCUUGAUUUGCCUUCCAAAAUCCUCAAUGAGACAUAGAAGGGAAUGGCAGUCUGCGCCCCGCACAACCCUCUAUAUAUAGGCUUGAGCGUGGUUUGGUUUUGGUCGGUUUCGACUUCAACCCGAAAUCAAAAUCAAAUUAGUUGGUUUUAGCAAAUUUCAAUCCAAACAACACACUCUAACUCUUACGGUUUGGACUUUUAGUUCAAAUUAAAUUUUUUUAAAAAAAUUGUUCAAGUUUUAGGUGCACUUAAAUUACAAGAACUAAAAUAACCAAAUAAUUUUAUAUUAUAAAAACUGCUGACCAAAAAAUAAAAUCAAGUUUAUAGAGACGGAUCAACAGAAAACUUAAAUUUUUUGUUGCUUUUUUUAUUUAUUAUGUAGUCUGAUCACCUGAAUAUGAAAAAAUGCUAAGUAUAACAUAAUAAGCUUGUGAAUGAAGAUUUUCAGUGUUAUUACUUAUUGACAACAUCAUAGAUUGGAGGAAAAUCGGAUAUAAUCAUGAGAUUAGCGUUUAUUUUUUUUCUUAAAUAACAAAAAAAAAGGUGAACACGUAAGUGGGUUGGGUUGGUUCGGUUAACCAACGAUUUGAGAUUUCAAAUCAUGACUAAAUCGAUCCACCGUGAUUUUGUUUAAAAGAAAAUCAAACCAAACUAAUUACCUGUGUCGAACCGACCUGAGUCGGUUCGAUUUGAUUGGUUUGGUCGAUUUUUCGAUUUUUUUGUCCAAACCUACCUAUAUCCCCGUUUACUUAUUUGUUCAAUUUCUUAGUAUAUAUUUUUAAUGGAUUUAAAUUCAAAAACAUAAUUAAAAUUAAAUAACAAACAAUAAUUCAUAUGGGAUUUGGGAUAGGGCAAAUGCGAGGCGAAGUGGAGGGUAUUUUAACAUCCCUAUCCAAUUGUACUUACUUUAUUAAGUGCUUGUUUGACGAUCAUUAAUUUAUUUUAUGAUUUGUUACAUGAUUAUUUUUAAUCACACAUUCACACAAUAAAAUAUUUUACAUAUAUAUCAAAUAUUUUUUCCUACUUUUUAACCACAUAUUCCCCUAAAAAUCACUAUUCAAAAAUAUUUUUUUAAAUAAUAAUGGUUGUCAAACGGGCUUUAAGUUUAAGAUAUUCUUAUUGUAAUAUAAAAAAAUAAAAAAAUAAUAAUAAUAAUAAAGAAUGAAUUAAUGUUAUUCCUUUCUAUGAAAAACAGAAGCUUAAUUUUGACACAUAUAUAAAACAAUUUUUUUUUUUAAAAAAGAUAAAUAUGGAAACAAAUAUAAUCUUAUAUUUAGCAGAGAAAAUGGCAAAAUGAGAAAUUUAUACCAAUAGAGGAGGUUUCUUUAAUAUUUUUAAAAUCAGAGGUGUGUGUCUGAAGUUAUUGUAAGCCUCAGGAGAAUUUUC